UACGUAGGGGGCUAGCGUUGUCCGGAAUCAUUGGGCGUAAAGCGCGUGUAGGCGGUCCGGUAAGUCCGCUGUGAAAGUCGGGGCUCAACCCUCGGAUGCCGGUGGAUACUGUCGGGCUUGAGUACGGAAGAGGCGAGUGGAAUUCCUGGUGUAGCGGUGAAAUGCGCAGAUAUCAGGAGGAACACCAAUUGCGAAGGCAGCUCGCUGGGACGUUACUGACGCUGAGACGCGAAAGCGUGGGGAGCAAACAGG
RNAcentral lists this ribosomal RNA (252 nucleotides) under uncultured bacterium. RNAcentral's name for it is "partial 16S ribosomal RNA". It matches the Rfam family "Bacterial small subunit ribosomal RNA", at positions 524 to 776 of the family's 1533-position model. The record is from RNAcentral.